Phacochoerus africanus (Common warthog) is the source of this 664-nucleotide long non-coding RNA. RefSeq lists it as uncharacterized. The record is from RefSeq and is a predicted model, not a curated record. Lineage: Eukaryota; Metazoa; Chordata; Mammalia; Artiodactyla; Suidae. The transcript has 3 exons.
GUGACUUGGAUAUUGGGGUAGACUGAUUGUAGUAAUGACUGAAUUUGUUCCCACCUUCUGUAUCCAGGCCCUCCUGCACUGACUUUUGGCAUAGCCAUUUGUCUUGAUUUGGCCAAAGAGAACACCUUGGAAAGUGCUUGUACACUGGAGCUGCUUUUGCAACUGCUACCACCAAAAUGAUCAAGCUCAAGCUAUUCUCCUGGAGGAAGAGACACCACAUGAGCAGCAAUGAGCCAUCACAAACAACAAGCCGCCAGUUAACUCUGCAGCUGAUCACAGAUGUAUGAUGUAUGUGCCCAGCUGAUAUUAGCAGAGUCUGGCCUCAGGCUGGAAGAACCAUUCAGGAAUGGCCACCUACAUCUGUCUAGGACCCACUGAAAACCAAAAGCAGUUGUGAAAUGGAGAGACCUUAUGUGCCCAAGUCAACAAGCUAUUGAAGGAGCUGGAUUUUAAUUCCGAUGCUUUGGCUAAUUGGAUGACCUUGGACAGACACUUUGUUUGCAGUGGUAUUAGCAUUUCUGCAAUAUGCAGAUGAAGAAGCUGAGGACCUGACUCAUUCCCCCAAGGUGUGGCAAUUUUAUUUUCCAGAAUAAAGCCAUCUCAUGUAAAUAUCCCAUCAAUAGCAGCAGACGGUAAAAGGCAAUUUGAAUGAUGCUUUCAAAAU